CCUGCAGUGGGAGGGACAGUCAAUCCUGAAGAGUGCUUCUGAAAUCUGAAAUCUAGACAUGGAACAAUAUACAUAUAUACUCUUGGUGAUGUUGUCUAUCAGGUAGUGGUGAAAAGAUUGCAAGAUCUCUAAGACAAGUAAAGGUGGAGGAAAACCCUAACAUGAAGUCGGAAAACUGAGCACAAAUCUUGAAUCCACCAUUAAUUCUUACUUUGGAAGAGUCUCUUGUCUUCUCCUUAAUUCUAAAAUACAGAGUAAAAUUACCUCUCUCCUUUAGUUUACAGAAGUGUUUGUAAAUAGCAAAUUAAGAAAGCUCUUUAAAACAAAGAGCAGUUAUCAUUUUAAAAUCAAUCAAUGCAAGAUUCAUCUUGAGAUGUUUUUGCUGGCUACCACUGCAGGCUUAUAGCAAAUCCUCAGAUCAGGGGUGGA
Phyllostomus discolor (pale spear-nosed bat) is the source of this 429-nucleotide long non-coding RNA. RefSeq lists it as uncharacterized. Lineage: Eukaryota; Metazoa; Chordata; Mammalia; Chiroptera; Phyllostomidae. The record is from RefSeq and is a predicted model, not a curated record. The transcript has 3 exons.